Long non-coding RNA from Anopheles funestus (African malaria mosquito), 7027 nucleotides. RefSeq lists it as uncharacterized. The record is from RefSeq and is a predicted model, not a curated record. The transcript has 6 exons. Lineage: Eukaryota; Metazoa; Arthropoda; Insecta; Diptera; Culicidae.
UUUAAAGAUUGGCGAUCCGUUGGAUACCGACCGAGUUAUAGCCAAAACUUGGCGCAAAAAUGAGGAAAAUUUUACAUUUUCUCAAACAGGGUAUGGAACUUGGCUUCUCAGAUAACUUCUAGCAUAGACAUCUGAGGGCAUGUCCGUCUAAGAAGAAAAUGUAGCCAUUGGUGCCAUCUAUCGACCACAGGUUAAAGAUUGGCGAUCCGUUGGAUACCGACCGAGUUAUAGCCAAAACUUGGUGCAAAAAUGAGCCUUAGUAAAUUUUUAUUUUUUUGAAUUUUUUGAUUUUUUUAUUAUUUUUGACUCUUUUUUUUAUUUAAAGCAUUACUUGAGUGAAAAGAAACACAUUGCAACCAAUUGGCAUUAAAAUAAAUCAAUUUAAUUUUUUUCCAAAUUUUCUCAAAAAAAUGGCAAGGGGUACCCCUUAUGAAAUUUUCGAGUUGAAAAUUUUUAAAAAUUUUUUUUCUGAUUUUUUAUUCUUUUUUUAAUUUGAAGCAUUAUUUGAGUGAAAAGAAACUUAUUGCAACAAAUUCGCAUUCAAAUAUAUCACAUUUAAAAAUUUUGCUACAUUGCUCAAAAAUGAGGAAAAUUUUACAUUUUCUCAAACAGGGUAAGGAACUUGGUUUCUCAGAUAACUUCUAGCAUAGACAUCUGAGGGCAUGGCCGUCCAAGAAGAAAAUGUAGCCAUUAGUACCAUCUAUCGACCACAGGUUAAAGAUUGGCGAUCCGUUGGAUACCGACCGAGUUAUAGCCAAAACUUGGCGCAAAAAUGAGGAAAAUUUUACAUUUUCUCAAACAGGGUAUGGAACUUGGCUUCUCAGAUAACUUCUAGCAUAGACAUCUGAGGGCAUGUCCGUCCAAGAAGAAAAUGUAGCCAUUGGUGCCAUCUAUUGACCACAGGUUAAAGAUUGGCGAUCCGUUGGAUACCGACCGAGUUAUAGCCAAAACUUGGUGCAAAAAUGAGCCUUAGUAAAUUUUUAUUUUUUUUGAAUUUUUUGAUUUUUUUAUUAUUUUUGACUCUUUUUUUUAUUUAAAGCAUUACUUGAGUGAAAAGAAACACAUUGCAACCAAUUGGCAUUAAAAUAAAUCAAUUUAAUUUUUUUCCAAAUUUUCUCAAAAAAAUGGCAAGGGGUACCCCUUAUGAAAUUUUCGAGUUGAAAAUUUUUAAAAAUUUUUUUUCUGAUUUUUUAUUCUUUUUUUAAUUUGAAGCAUUAUUUGAGUGAAAAGAAACUUAUUGCAACAAAUUCGCAUUCAAAUAUAUCACAUUUAAAAAUUUUGCUACAUUGCUCAAAAAUGAGGAAAAUUUUACAUUUUCUCAAACAGGGUAAGGAACUUGGUUUCUCAGAUAACUUCUAGCAUAGACAUCUGAGGGCAUGGCCGUCCAAGAAAAAAAUGUAGCCAUUAGUACCAUCUAUUGACCACAUUUUAAAGAUUGGCGAUCCGUUGGAUACCGACCGAGUUAUAGCCAAAACUUGGCGCAAAAAUGAGGAAAAUUUUACAUUUUCUCAAACAGGGUAUGUAACUUGGCUUCUCAGAUAACUUCUAGCAUAGACAUCUGAGGGCAUGUCCGUCCAAGAAGAAAAUGUAGCCAUUGGUGCCAUCUAUCGACCACAGGUUAAAGAUUGGCGAUCCGUUGGAUACCGACCGAGUUAUAGCCAAAACUUGGUGCAAAAAUGAGCCUUAGUAAAUUUUUAUUUUUUUGAAUUUUUUGAUUUUUUUAUUAUUUUUGACUCUUUUUUUUAUUUAAAGCAUUACUUGAGUGAAAAGAAACACAUUGCAACCAAUUGGCAUUAAAAUAAAUCAAUUUAAUUUUUUUCCAAAUUUUCUCAAAAAAAUGGCAAGGGGUACCCCUUAUGAAAUUUUCGAGUUGAAAAUUUUUAAAAAAUUUUUUUCUGAUUUUUUAUUCUUUUUUUAAUUUGAAGCAUUAUUUGAGUGAAAAGAAACUUAUUGCAACAAAUUCGCAUUCAAAUAUAUCACAUUUAAAAAUUUUGCUACAUUGCUCAAAAAUGAGGAAAAUUUUACAUUUUCUCAAACAGGGUAUGGAACUUGGCUUCUCAGAUAACUUCUAGCAUAGACAUCUGAGGGCAUGUCCGUUCAAGAAGAAAAUGUAGCCAUUGGUGCCAUCUAUCGACCACAGGUUAAAGAUUGGCGAUCCGUUGGAUACCGACCGAGUUAUAGCCAAAACUUGGUGCAAAAAUGAGCCUUAGUAAAUUUUUAUUUUUUUUGAAUUUUUUGAUUUUUUUAUUAUUUUUGACUCUUUUUUUUUUAAAGCAUUACUUGAGUGAAAAGAAACACAUUGCAACCAAUUGGCAUGAAAAUAAAUCAAUUUAAUUUUUUUUCCAAAUUUUCUCAAAAAAAUGGCAAGGGGUACCCCUUAUGAAAUUUUCGAGUUGAAAAUUUUUAAAAUUUUUUUUUUCGGAUUUUUUAUUCUUUUUUUAAUUUGAAGCAUUAUUUGAGUGAAAAGAAACUUAUUGCAACAAAUUCGCAUUCAAAUAUAUCACAUUUAAAAAUUUUGCUACAUUGCUCAAAAAUGAGGAAAAUUUUACAUUUUCUCAAACAGGGUAAGGAACUUGGUUUCUCAGAUAACUUCUAGCAUAGACAACUGAGGGCAUGUCCGUCCAAGAAAAAAAUGUAGCCAUUAGUACCAUCUAUUGACCGCAAUUUAAAGAUUGGCGAUCCGUUGGAUACCGACCGAGUUAUAGCCAAAACUUGGCGCAAAAAUGAGGAAAAUUUUACAUUUUCUCAAACAGGGUAUGGAACUUGGCUUCUCAGAUAACUUCUAGCAUAGACAUCUGAGGGCAUGUCCGUCCAAGAAGAAAAUGUAGCCAUUGGUGCCAUCUAUCGACCACAGGUUAAAGAUUGGCGAUCCGUUGGAUACCGACCGAGUUAUAGCCAAAACUUGGUGCAAAAAUGAGCAUUAGUAAAUUUUUAUUUUUUUGAAUUUUUUGAUUUUUUUAUUAUUUUUGACUCUUUUUUUUAUUUAAAGCAUUACUUGAGUGAAAAGAAACACAUUGCAACCAAUUGGCAUUAAAAUAAAUCAAUUUAAUUUUUUUCCAAAUUUUCUCAAAAAAAUGGCAAGGGGUACCCCUUAUGAAAUUUUCGAGUUGAAAAUUUUUAAAAAAAUUUUUUCUGAUUUUUUAUUCUUUUUUUAAUUUGAAGCAUUAUUUGAGUGAAAAGAAACUUAUUGCAACAAAUUCGCAUUCAAAUAUAUCACAUUUAAAAAUUUUGCUACAUUGCUCAAAAAUGAGGAAAAUUUUACAUUUUCUCAAACAGGGUAAGGAACUUGGUUUCUCAGAUAACUUCUAGCAUAGACAUCUGAGGGCAUGGCCGUCCAAGAAGAAAAUGUAGCCAUUAGUACCAUCUAUCGACCACAUUUUAAAGAUUGGCGAUCCGUUGGAUACCGACCGAGUUAUAGCCAAAACUUGGCGCAAAAAUGAGGAAAAUUUUACAUUUUCUCAAACAGGGUAUGGAACUUGGCUUCUCAGAUAACUUCUAGCAUAGACAUCUGAGGGCAUGUCCGUCCAAGAAGAAAAUGUAGCCAUUGAUGCCAUCUAUCGACCACAGGUUAAAGAUUGGCGAUCCAUUGGAUACCGACCGAGUUAUAGCCAAAACUUGGUGCAAAAAUGAGCCUUAGUAAAUUUUAAUUUUUUUUAAUUUUUUGAUUUUUUUAUUAUUUUUGACUCUUUUUUUUAUUUAAAGCAUUACUUGAGUGAAAAGAAACACAUUGCAACCAAUUGGCAUUAAAAUAAAUCAAUUUAAUUUUUUUUCCAAAUUUUCUCAAAAAAAUGGCAAGGGGUACCCCUUAUGAAAUUUUCGAGUUGAAAAUUUUUAAAAAUUUUUUUUCUGAUUUUUUAUUCUUUUUUUAAUUUGAAGCAUUAUUUGAGUGAAAAGAAACUUAUUGCAAUAAAUUCGCAUUCAAAUAUAUCACAUUUAAAAAUUUUGCUACAUUGCUCAAAAAUGAGGAAAAUUUUACAUUUUCUCAAACAGGGUAAGGAACUUGGUUUCUCAGAUAACUUCUAGCAUAGACAUCUGAGGGCAUGGCCGUCCAAGAAGAAAAUGUAGCCAUUAGUACCAUCUAUCGACCACAUUUUAAAGAUUGGCGAUCCGUUGGAUACCGACCGAGUUAUAGCCAAAACUUGGCGCAAAAAUGAGGAAAAUUUUACAUUUUCUCAAACAGGGUAUGGAACUUGGCUUCUCAGAUAACUUCUAGCAUAGACAUCUGAGGGCAUGUCCGUCCAAGAAGAAAAUGUAGCCAUUGAUGCCAUCUAUCGACCACAGGUUGAAGAUUGGCGAUCCGUUGGAUACCGACCGAGUUAUAGCCAAAACUUGGUGCAAAAAUGAAAAAAAGUUUACAUUUUCUCGAACUUGGUUCCUCGAAUAACUUCUGACACAGACAUCUGAGAGCAUGGCCGUCCAAGAAGAAAAUGUAGCCAUUGGUGCCAUCUACCGACCACAGGUUGAAGAUUGGCGAUCCGUUGGAUACCGACCGAGUUAUAGGCAAAACUUGGUGCAAAAAUGAAAAAAAGUUUACAUUUUCUCGAACUUGGUUCCUCGAAUAACUUCUGACACAGACAUCUGAGAGCAUGGCCGUCCAAGAAGAAAAUGUAGCCAUUGGUGCCAUCUACCGACCACAGGUUGAAGAUUGGCGAUCCGUUGGAUACCGACCGAGUUAUAGGCAAAACUUGGUGCAAAAAUGAAAAAAAGUUUACAUUUUCUCGAACUUGGUUCCUCGAAUAACUUCUGACACAGACAUCUGAGAGCAUGGCCGUCCAAGAAGAAAAUGUAGCCAUUGGUGCCAUCUACCGACCACAGGUUGAAGAUUGGCGAUCCGUUGGAUACCGACCGAGUUAUAGGCAAAACUUGGUGCAAAAAUGAAAAAAAGUUUACAUUUUCUCGAACUUGGUUCCUCGAAUAACUUCUGACACAGACAUCUGAGAGCAUGGCCGUCCAAGAAGAAAAUGUAGCCAUUGGUGCCAUCUACCGACCACAGGUUAAAGAUUGGCGAUCCGUUGGAUACCGACCGAGUUAUAGCCAAAACUUGGUGCAAAAAUGAGCCUUAGUAAAUUUUUAUUUUUUUGAAUUUUUUGAUUUUUUUAUUAUUUUUGACUCUUUUUUUUAUUUAAAGCAUUACUUGAGUGAAAAGAAACACAUUGCAACCAAUUGGCAUUAAAAUAAAUCAAUUUAAUUUUUUUUUCCAAAUUUUCUCAAAAAAAUGGCAAGGGGUACCCCUUAUGAAAUUUUCGAGUUGAAAAUUUUUAAAAAAUUUUUUUCUGAUUUUUUAUUCUUUUUUUAAUUUGAAGCAUUAUUUGAGUGAAAAGAAACUUAUUGCAACAAAUUCGCAUUCAAAUAUAUCACAUUUAAAAAUUUUGCUACAUUGCUCAAAAAUGAGGAAAAUUUUACAUUUUCUCAAACAGGGUAAGGAACUUGGUUUCUCAGAUAACUUCUAGCAUAGACAUCUGAGGGCAUGGCCGUCCAAGAAGAAAAUGUAGCCAUUAGUACCAUCUAUCGACCACAUUUUAAAGAUUGGCGAUCCGUUGGAUACCGACCGAGUUAUAGCCAAAACAUGGCGCAAAAAUGAGGAAAAUUUUACAUUUUCUCAAACAGGGUAUGGAACUUGGCUUCUCAGAUAACUUCUAGCAUAGACAUCUGAGGGCAUGUCCGUCCAAGAAGAAAAUGUAGCCAUUGGUGCCAUCUAUCGACCACAGGUCAAAGAUUGGCGAUCCGUUGGAUACCGACCGAGUUAUAGGCAAAACUUGGUGGAAAAAUGAAGAAAAUUUUACAUUUUCUCGAACAGAGUAUGGAACUUGGUUCCUCGAAUAACUUCUGACACAGACAUCUGAGGGCAUGGCCGUCCAAGAAGAAAAUGUAGCCAUUGGUGCCAUCUAUUGACCGCAAUUUAAAGAUUGGCGAUCCGUUGGAUACCGACUGAGUUAUAGACAAAACUUGGUGCAAAAAUGAAGAAAAGUUUACAUUUUCUCGAACAGAGUAUGGAACUUGGUUCCUCGAAUAACUUCUGGCACAGACAUCUGAGAGCAUGGCCGUCCAAGAAGAAAAUGUAGCCCUUGGUGCCAUCUAUCGACCACCGGUUAAAGAUUGGCGAUCCGUUGGAUAUCGACCGAGUUAUAGUCAAAACAUGGUGCAAAAAUGAACCUUGGUAAAUUUUUAAAUUUUUGAAUUUUUUGAUUUUUUUAUUAUUUUUCACUCUUUUUUUUAUUUAAAGCAUUACUUGAGUGAAAAGAAACACAUUGCAACCAAUUGGCAUUAAAAUAAAUCAAUUUAAAUUUUUUUGCAAAAUUUCCCAAAAAAAACCUAAGGGGUAAACCUUUGAAAUUUUCGAGUUGAAAAUUUUUUUUAAAUUUUUUUCUGAUUUUUUAUUCUAUUUUUAAUUUAAAGCAUUAUUUGAGUGAAAAGAAACACAUUGUUACAAAUUUGCAUUCAAAUAUAUCACAUUUAAAAAUUUUGCUGAAUUGCUCAAAAAUGAAGAAAAUUUUACAUUUUCUCGAACAGGGUAUGGAACUUGGUUCCACGAAUAACUUCUGACACAGACAUCUGAGGGCAUGGCCGUCCAAGAAGAAAAUGUAGCCAUUGGUGCCAUCUACCGACCACAGGUUAAAGAUUGGCGAUCCGUUGGAUACCGACCGAGUUAUAGGCAAAACUUGGUGCAAAAAUGAAGAAAAGUUUACAUUUUCUCGAACAGGGUAUGGAACUUGGUUCCUCGAAUAACUUCUGACACAGACAUCUGAGGGCAUGGCCGUCCAAGAAGAAAAUGUAGCCCUUGGUGCCAUCUAUCGACCACAGGUUAAAGAUUGGGGAUCCGUUGGAUAUCGACCGAGUUAUAGUCAAAACUUGGUGCAAAAAUGAACCUUGGUAAAUUUUCAAUUUUUUUAGAAUUUUUUGAUUUUUUGAUUAUUUUUCACUCUUUUUUUUAUUUAAAGCAUUACUUGAGUGAAAAGAAACACAUUGCAACCAAUUGGCAUUAAAAUAAAUCAAUUUAAUUUUUUUUGCAAAAUUUCCCAAAAAAAAC